RNAcentral lists this transfer RNA (107 nucleotides) under Acidovorax sp. A1169. RNAcentral describes it as "tRNA-Gln". Lineage: Bacteria; Pseudomonadati; Pseudomonadota; Betaproteobacteria; Burkholderiales; Comamonadaceae. The record is from RNAcentral.
GCAAGGUACUUGCCCCAACGCGGCUUCAAAAAGACCUUGAACAGGUUCCAGGGCAGCGGAUUUUGAUUCCGCCAUUCGGAGGUUCGAUCCCUCCCCGGUCUGCCCCA